GAUGAACGCUGGCGGCGUGCCUAAUACAUGCAAGUCGAGCGAACAGACGAGGAGCUUGCUCCUCUGACGUUAGCGGCGGGCGGGUGAGUAACACGUGGAUAACCUACCUAUAAGACUGGGAUAACUUCGGGAAACCGGAGCUAAUACCGGAUAAUAUAUUGAACCGCAGGGUUCCAUAGUGAAAGACGGUUUUGCUGUCACUUAUAGAUGGAUCCGCGCCGCAUUAGCUAGUUGGUAAGGUAACGGCGUACCAAGGCAACGAUGCGUAGCCGACCUGAGAGGGUGAUCGGCCACACUGGAACUGAGACACGGUCCAGACUCCUACGGGAGGCAGCAGUAGGGAAUCUUCCGCAAUGGGCGAAAGCCUGACGGAGCAACGCCGCGUGAGUGAUGAAGGUCUUCGGAUCGUAAAACUCUGUUAUUAGGGAAGAACAACUGUGUACGUAACUAUGCACGUCUUGACGGUACCUAAUCAGAAAGCCACGGCUAACUACGUG
RNAcentral lists this ribosomal RNA (497 nucleotides) under uncultured bacterium. RNAcentral describes it as "partial 16S ribosomal RNA". It matches the Rfam family "Bacterial small subunit ribosomal RNA", at positions 28 to 507 of the family's 1533-position model. The record is from RNAcentral.